AUUACUGGGCGUAAAGCGCGCGUAGGCGGUUAAGUAAGUUAAUUGUGAAAGCCCGAAGCUCAACUUCGGAAUUGCAAUUAAAACUACUUAGCUAGAGUUUAUCAGAGGAAAGCGGAAUACAUAGUGUAGAGGUGAAAUUCGUAGAUAUUAUGUAGAACACCAGUUGCGAAGGCGGCUUUCUGGGAUAACACUGACGCUGAGGUGCGAAAGUAUGGGUAGCGAAGAGGAUUAGAUACCCUCGUAGUCCAUACCGUAAACGAUGAUUGUUAGAUGUUGGAAAUUUAUUUUCAGUAUCACAGCUAACGCGUUAAACAAUCCGCCUGGGGAGUACGACCGCAAGGUUAAAACUCAAAUGAAUUGACGGGGACCCGCACAAGCGGUGGAGCAUGUGGUUUAAUUCGAAGCUACGCGCAGAACCUUACCAACACUUGACAUGUCUGUCGCGGAUUUCAGAGAUGGAUUCCUUCGGUUCGGCCGGACAGAACACAGGUGCUGCAUGGCUGUCGUCAGCUCGUGUCGUGAGAUGUUGGGUUAAGUCCCGCAACGAGCGCAACCCCUACUUCUAGUUGCCAUCAGGCUAAGCUGGGCACUCUAGUAGGACUGCCUGUGAUAAGCAGGAGGAAGGUUGGGAUGACGUCAAGUCCUCAUGGCCCUUACGUGUUGGGCUACACACGUGCUACAAUGGCAGUGACAAUGAGAUGCUAAACAGCGAUGUUAAGCUAAACUCAAAAACCUGCCUCAGUUCGGAUUGCACUCUGCAACUCGAGUGCAUGAAGCUGGAAUCGCUAGUAAUCGCUCAUCAGCGCGGAGCGGUGAAUACGUUCCCGGGUCUUGUACACACCGC
Molecule: ribosomal RNA, 844 nt
Filed under: uncultured Alphaproteobacteria bacterium
Lineage: Bacteria; Pseudomonadati; Pseudomonadota; Alphaproteobacteria
Description: bacterial SSU rRNA
Rfam family: Bacterial small subunit ribosomal RNA
Source: RNAcentral